RNAcentral lists this ribosomal RNA (253 nucleotides) under uncultured bacterium. RNAcentral's name for it is "partial 16S ribosomal RNA". It matches the Rfam family "Bacterial small subunit ribosomal RNA", at positions 524 to 776 of the family's 1533-position model. The record is from RNAcentral.
UACGUAGGGCGCAAGCGUUGUCCGGAAUUAUUGGGCGUAAAGAGCUCGUAGGCGGCCUGUUACGUCUGCUGUGAAAUCCCGGGGCUUAACCCCGGGCGUGCAGUGGAUACGGGCAGGCUGGAGGCAGGCAGGGGAGAACGGAAUUCCCGGUGUAGCGGUGAAAUGCGCAGAUAUCGGGAGGAACACCGGUGGCGAAGGCGGUUCUCUGGGCCUAUACUGACGCUGAGGGGCGAAAGCGUGGGGAGCGAACAGG